CUUGUCUUUUCUAACAGAACUGAACAUUUCAGAGGUUCUGGCAAAUAAAAGUUCUGCUCAGGUUGAAGCUGAAGGUCACAAAACACCAUAAACUGUCAGACUGGACUUCACCAGCUCCUCAGCUCCUCCUGUAACCUGCAGUCUGCACGGAGCUGAUGGUGUUGGACGGUGAUGACCCGAGCGGAGUGCUGAUAAAGAAGAAGAGGCGUGUUGUGUCCCAGCAGAAACCGAAAAAGUCACCUGAAACAGCUGAAAGUGAACACGAAGAAAGAGCAAAACACAGGACGAGAGAGACUGAAGAGAUGCUACAGAGAGCUGAACGUCUUUCUCUCAGGUUUCCUGCAUGGACGUGAGUUGAGCAUCGAUUUGCAGCACACACUUGUUUGACGGU
This is a long non-coding RNA of Acanthopagrus latus (yellowfin seabream), 391 nucleotides long. RefSeq lists it as uncharacterized. Lineage: Eukaryota; Metazoa; Chordata; Actinopteri; Spariformes; Sparidae. The transcript is spliced from 3 exons. The record is from RefSeq and is a predicted model, not a curated record.